This 253-nucleotide ribosomal RNA is filed under the name uncultured bacterium. RNAcentral's name for it is "partial 16S ribosomal RNA". It matches the Rfam family "Bacterial small subunit ribosomal RNA", at positions 524 to 776 of the family's 1533-position model. The record is from RNAcentral.
UACGUAGGGUGCAAGCGUUAAUCGGACUUACUGGGCGUAAAGCGUGCGCAGGCGGUUUUGUAAGUCUGUCGUGAAAGCCCCGGGCUCAACCUGGGAAUUGCGAUGGAGACUGCAAGGCUUGAAUCUGGCAGAGGGGGGUAGAAUUCCACGUGUAGCAGUGAAAUGCGUAGAGAUGUGGAGGAACACCGAUGGCGAAGGCAGCCCCCUGGGUCAAGAUUGACGCUCAUGCACGAAAGCGUGGGGAGCAAACAGG